CUGCCUUCCUCCUGUCAGAGAGCAGAGCAGCACCUCGUGAGCUGUGUGUGAAGGCAGCUUGAGAUGGCAGGUGCAAACAUCCCAGUGAGCUGUGCGUACUCCUGAUCUAGCACAGACACUUGCUCAGCCCAGUGGAAGGCACCUUUAGCUACUUCAACAAGCUUGGCUAUUUCCACCUCCCUGGCCCUAGCUGGGAAAGCUGGCACCGGUCCCAAGGCUAUCCCAGCUCUCUCCCGAGGCUGCUGUGGGUGACCUGCUGCUUGGGCUGACAGCCAGGAUAACUGAUAGAGAAUGCUACCAGGUGAUGGCCAGAGAAGCUUGGACUUGCUCCUGCUUCCCAGACCUGCUGCCCCAUCUGCUCCAGCAGUUUCCGAGCACUGCCAGUGCCACAUUGGUUUUCACAGCUGCCUUGGUGGGGCUGGAUGCAUGGACUGGGCACACCCUGCAAUCACACCCCCAGCUGAUGAGGAACAAAAGAUCUCCGGCAGCUUUUGACCAGGCGCACACAGUGGCAAAGCUCUCCUUUUUAUAACAAAAUCCAGGAGAGAGGGGUAGCUGGAGCCAUGGCAUCAGCACAUUUUCAUUGCACAAAAGAGGUGAGACACAAAAGAGGGUCACAAAUCCACCCUCUCACUGCAAUUUGUCAUCUCGU
RNAcentral lists this long non-coding RNA (652 nucleotides) under Junco hyemalis (dark-eyed junco). Its description in RNAcentral is "lncRNA (ENSJHYG00000004214.1)". The record is from RNAcentral. Lineage: Eukaryota; Metazoa; Chordata; Aves; Passeriformes; Passerellidae.